RNAcentral lists this long non-coding RNA (353 nucleotides) under Lynx pardinus (Iberian lynx). The record is from RNAcentral. Lineage: Eukaryota; Metazoa; Chordata; Mammalia; Carnivora; Felidae.
GUCACCCACUCGGAACAUGAAGCACAGCUUGCCAUUUCUAACGGCAAUCACAGCAUGGCGGCUGAAAAUCAAAGUUUCCGCCCUUCUGUGAGCCUGAGCUGUUUUCAUGAAAAUGCAACCCAACAUGACUGCGUUGAUUAUCAAACCCACAAUGUUCUGAAGAAUCAAAACUGUGAUGGCCAGGGGACAUUCCUCUGUCAUCAUUCUCCCUCCAAAUCCAAUUGUCACUUGAACUUCAAUGGAGAAGAGGAAAGCAGAGGUGAAAGACCUGUAAGGAGUGAUAUCAGAAAACGGUGCCAUCAGAUCAAAUUUUGAAUAAUGAAAUAACAUGCUAAGCUGAAUUUUCCAUUUUC